RNAcentral lists this transfer RNA (73 nucleotides) under Blautia wexlerae. Its description in RNAcentral is "tRNA-Asp". It matches the Rfam family "tRNA". From Rfam's summary of the family: Transfer RNA (tRNA) molecules are approximately 80 nucleotides in length. Their secondary structure includes four short double-helical elements and three loops (D, anti-codon, and T loops). The record is from RNAcentral. Lineage: Bacteria; Bacillati; Bacillota; Clostridia; Lachnospirales; Lachnospiraceae. RNAcentral also lists the same sequence under 8 other names.
GGCUCUAUAGUUAAGCGGUUUAUAACACCUGCCUGUCACGCAGGAGUCCGGAGUUCAACUCUCCGUGGAGCCG